Molecule: ribosomal RNA, 2891 nt
Filed under: Pseudomonas sp. HS6
Lineage: Bacteria; Pseudomonadati; Pseudomonadota; Gammaproteobacteria; Pseudomonadales; Pseudomonadaceae
Description: 23S ribosomal RNA
Rfam family: Bacterial large subunit ribosomal RNA
Source: RNAcentral
GGUCAAGUGAAGAAGCGCAUACGGUGGAUGCCUUGGCAGUCAGAGGCGAUGAAAGACGUGGUAGCCUGCGAAAAGCUUCGGGGAGUCGGCAAACAGACUUUGAUCCGGAGAUGUCUGAAUGGGGGAACCCAGCCAUCAUAAGAUGGUUAUCUUGUACUGAAUACAUAGGUGCAAGAGGCGAACCAGGGGAACUGAAACAUCUAAGUACCCUGAGGAAAAGAAAUCAACCGAGAUUCCCUUAGUAGUGGCGAGCGAACGGGGACUAGCCCUUAAGUGGCUUUGAGAUUAGCGGAACGCUCUGGAAAGUGCGGCCAUAGUGGGUGAUAGCCCUGUACGCGAAAAUCUCUUAGUCAUGAAAUCGAGUAGGACGGAGCACGAGAAACUUUGUCUGAAUAUGGGGGGACCAUCCUCCAAGGCUAAAUACUACUGACUGACCGAUAGUGAACUAGUACCGUGAGGGAAAGGCGAAAAGAACCCCGGAGAGGGGAGUGAAAUAGAUCCUGAAACCGUAUGCGUACAAGCAGUGGGAGCAGACUUUGUUCUGUGACUGCGUACCUUUUGUAUAAUGGGUCAGCGACUUAUUUUCAGUGGCGAGCUUAACCGAAUAGGGGAGGCGUAGCGAAAGCGAGUCUUAAUAGGGCGUCUAGUCGCUGGGAAUAGACCCGAAACCGGGCGAUCUAUCCAUGGGCAGGUUGAAGGUUAGGUAACACUGACUGGAGGACCGAACCGACUACCGUUGAAAAGUUAGCGGAUGACCUGUGGAUCGGAGUGAAAGGCUAAUCAAGCUCGGAGAUAGCUGGUUCUCCUCGAAAGCUAUUUAGGUAGCGCCUCAUGUAUCACUGUAGGGGGUAGAGCACUGUUUCGGCUAGGGGGUCAUCCCGACUUACCAAACCGAUGCAAACUCCGAAUACCUACAAGUGCCGAGCAUGGGAGACACACGGCGGGUGCUAACGUCCGUCGUGAAAAGGGAAACAACCCAGACCGUCAGCUAAGGUCCCAAAGUUAUGGUUAAGUGGGAAACGAUGUGGGAAGGCUUAGACAGCUAGGAGGUUGGCUUAGAAGCAGCCACCCUUUAAAGAAAGCGUAAUAGCUCACUAGUCGAGUCGGCCUGCGCGGAAGAUGUAACGGGGCUCAAACCAUACACCGAAGCUACGGGUAUCACGUAAGUGAUGCGGUAGAGGAGCGUUCUGUAAGCCUGUGAAGGUGAGUUGAGAAGCUUGCUGGAGGUAUCAGAAGUGCGAAUGCUGACAUGAGUAACGACAAUGGGUGUGAAAAACACCCACGCCGAAAGACCAAGGUUUCCUGCGCAACGUUAAUCGACGCAGGGUUAGUCGGUCCCUAAGGCGAGGCUGAAAAGCGUAGUCGAUGGAAAACAGGUUAAUAUUCCUGUACUUCUGGUUAUUGCGAUGGAGGGACGGAGAAGGCUAGGCCAGCUUGGCGUUGGUUGUCCAAGUUUAAGGUGGUAGGCUGGAAUCUUAGGUAAAUCCGGGAUUCUAAGGCCGAGAGCUGAUGACGAGUUGCCAUUAGGCGACGAAGUGGUUGAUGCCAUGCUUCCAAGAAAAGCUUCUAAGCUUCAGGUAACCAGGAACCGUACCCCAAACCGACACAGGUGGUUGGGUAGAGAAUACCAAGGCGCUUGAGAGAACUCGGGUGAAGGAACUAGGCAAAAUGGCACCGUAACUUCGGGAGAAGGUGCGCCGGUGAGGGUGAAGGACUUGCUCCGUAAGCUCAUGCCGGUCGAAGAUACCAGGCCGCUGCGACUGUUUAUUAAAAACACAGCACUCUGCAAACACGAAAGUGGACGUAUAGGGUGUGACGCCUGCCCGGUGCCGGAAGGUUAAUUGAUGGGGUUAGCUAACGCGAAGCUCUUGAUCGAAGCCCCGGUAAACGGCGGCCGUAACUAUAACGGUCCUAAGGUAGCGAAAUUCCUUGUCGGGUAAGUUCCGACCUGCACGAAUGGCGUAACGAUGGCGGCGCUGUCUCCACCCGAGACUCAGUGAAAUUGAAAUCGCUGUGAAGAUGCAGUGUAUCCGCGGCUAGACGGAAAGACCCCGUGAACCUUUACUAUAGCUUUGCACUGGACUUUGAAUUUGCUUGUGUAGGAUAGGUGGGAGGCUUUGAAGCGUGAACGCCAGUUUGCGUGGAGCCAUCCUUGAAAUACCACCCUGGCAACUUUGAGGUUCUAACUCAGGUCCGUUAUCCGGAUCGAGGACAGUGUAUGGUGGGUAGUUUGACUGGGGCGGUCUCCUCCUAAAGAGUAACGGAGGAGUACGAAGGUGCGCUCAGACCGGUCGGAAAUCGGUCGUAGAGUAUAAAGGCAAAAGCGCGCUUGACUGCGAGACAGACACGUCGAGCAGGUACGAAAGUAGGUCUUAGUGAUCCGGUGGUUCUGUAUGGAAGGGCCAUCGCUCAACGGAUAAAAGGUACUCCGGGGAUAACAGGCUGAUACCGCCCAAGAGUUCAUAUCGACGGCGGUGUUUGGCACCUCGAUGUCGGCUCAUCACAUCCUGGGGCUGAAGCCGGUCCCAAGGGUAUGGCUGUUCGCCAUUUAAAGUGGUACGCGAGCUGGGUUUAGAACGUCGUGAGACAGUUCGGUCCCUAUCUGCCGUGGACGUUUGAGAUUUGAGAGGGGCUGCUCCUAGUACGAGAGGACCGGAGUGGACGAACCUCUGGUGUUCCGGUUGUCACGCCAGUGGCAUUGCCGGGUAGCUAUGUUCGGAAAAGAUAACCGCUGAAAGCAUCUAAGCGGGAAACUUGCCUCAAGAUGAGAUCUCACUGGAACCUUGAGUUCCCUGAAGGGCCGUCGAAGACUACGACGUUGAUAGGUUGGGUGUGUAAGCGCUGUGAGGCGUUGAGCUAACCAAUACUAAUUGCCCGUGAGGCUUGACCAU